UGGGGAAUUUUGGACAAUGGACGCAAGUCUGAUCCAGCCAUGCCGCGUGCGGGAAGAAGGCCUUCGGGUUGUAAACCGCUUUUGUCAGGGAAGAAACGAGUUUCUCUAAUACAGAGACUUAAUGACGGUACCUGAAGAAUAAGCACCGGCUAACUACGUGCCAGCAGCCGCGGUAAUACGUAGGGUGCAAGCGUUAAUCGGAAUUACUGGGCGUAAAGCGUGCGCAGGCGGUUAUGUAAGACAGAUGUGAAAUCCCCGGGCUCAACCUGGGAACUGCCUUUGUGACUGCAUAGCUAGAGUACGGUAGAGGGGGAUGGAAUUCCGCGUGUAGCAGUGAAAUGCGUAGAUAUGCGGAGGAACACCGAUGGCGAAGGCAAUCCCCUGGACCUGUACUGACGCUCAUGCACGAAAGCGAGGGGAGCAAACA
This 427-nucleotide ribosomal RNA is filed under the name uncultured bacterium. Its description in RNAcentral is "bacterial SSU rRNA". It matches the Rfam family "Bacterial small subunit ribosomal RNA", at positions 355 to 774 of the family's 1533-position model. The record is from RNAcentral.